Molecule: long non-coding RNA, 236 nt
Filed under: Medicago truncatula (barrel medic)
Lineage: Eukaryota; Viridiplantae; Streptophyta; Magnoliopsida; Fabales; Fabaceae
Description: long non-coding RNA (MTRU_LNC001582)
Source: RNAcentral
AAGAAAUUACCUUUCAAUUUGGAUUGAAAAAACAGAGAGUCGAAAAUAAAAAGGGUUUUUGUUUAAUCUUCUCUAAAUGAGAGAGGACGGGAGUGUCGGAGUGGUCGGCGCCGGUGGUGAAGAUGGAUGUCACGCGGCAGGAAAUGAAUGACAACAGACAAUCGCCGGAAUGAAGGUUAUGGGUUUGUAGGGUGUAGGUCGCGUAACAGAGGAAGGGGAAAGAAGUUUUGUAUACG